Molecule: ribosomal RNA, 253 nt
Filed under: uncultured bacterium
Lineage: Bacteria
Description: partial 16S ribosomal RNA
Rfam family: Bacterial small subunit ribosomal RNA
Source: RNAcentral
UACGGAGGAUCCAAGCGUUAUCCGGAUUCAUUGGGUUUAAAGGGUGCGUAGGCGGACUGAUAAGUCAGCGGUGAAAUCCCACGGCUCAACUGUGGAACUGCCGUUGAUACUGUCAGUCUUGAGUACAGAUGAUGUGGGCGGAAUAUGACAUGUAGUGGUGAAAUACUUAGAUAUGUCAUAGAACACCGAUUGCGAAGGCAGCUCACAAAACUGUCACUGACGCUGAGGUGCGAAAGCGUGGGGAGCAAACAGG